UACGGGGGGAGCAAGCGUUGUUCGGAUUUACUAGGCGUAAAGGGCGCGUAGGCGGCGCAACAAGUCACUUGUGAAAUCUCCGGGCUUAACCCGGAGCGGCCAAGUGAUACUGUCGUGCUAGAGUGCGGAAGGGGCUACUGGAAUUCUCGGUGUAGCGGUGAAAUGCGUAGAUAUCGAGAGGAACACCUGCGGCGAAGGCGGGUCUCUGGGCCGAUACUGACGCUGAGGAGCGAAAGCGUGGGGAGCGAACAGG
Molecule: ribosomal RNA, 253 nt
Filed under: uncultured bacterium
Lineage: Bacteria
Description: partial 16S ribosomal RNA
Rfam family: Bacterial small subunit ribosomal RNA
Source: RNAcentral